RNAcentral lists this ribosomal RNA (433 nucleotides) under uncultured bacterium. Its description in RNAcentral is "partial 16S ribosomal RNA". It matches the Rfam family "Bacterial small subunit ribosomal RNA", at positions 29 to 507 of the family's 1533-position model. The record is from RNAcentral.
AACGAACGCUGGCGGCAUGCCUAACACAUGCAAGUCGAACGAGACCUUCGGGUCUAGUGGCGCACGGGUGCGUAACGCGUGGGAACCUGCCCUUAGGUUCGGAAUAACUCCCCGAAAGGGGUGCUAAUACCGGAUAAUGUCUUCGGACCAAAGAUUUAUCGCCUUUGGAUGGGCCCGCGUUGGAUUAGCUAGUUGGUAGGGUAAAAGCCUACCAAGGCGACGAUCCAUAGCUGGUCUGAGAGGAUGAUCAGCCACACUGGGACUGAGACACGGCCCAGACUCCUACGGGAGGCAGCAGUGGGGAAUAUUGGACAAUGGGCGAAAGCCUGAUCCAGCAAUGACGCGUGAGUGAUGAAGGCCUUAGGGUUGUAAAGCUCUUUUAACCGGGAGGAUAAUGACAGUACCGGGAGAAUAAGCUCCGGCUAACUCCGUG